Molecule: ribosomal RNA, 838 nt
Filed under: Schizophyllum commune
Lineage: Eukaryota; Fungi; Basidiomycota; Agaricomycetes; Agaricales; Schizophyllaceae
Description: eukaryotic LSU rRNA
Rfam family: Eukaryotic large subunit ribosomal RNA
Source: RNAcentral
AGAAACUAACAAGGAUUCCCCUAGUAACUGCGAGUGAAGCGGGAAAAGCUCAAAUUUAAAAUCUGGCGGUCUCCGGCCGUCCGAGUUGUAAUUUAGAGAAGCGUUAUCCGUGCUGGACCGUGUAUAAGUCUCCUGGAAUGGAGCGUCAUAGAGGGUGAGAAUCCCGUCUUUGACACGGACUACCAGUGCAUUGUGAUGCGCUCUCGACGAGUCGAGUUGUUUGGGAAUGCAGCUCAAAAUGGGUGGUAAAUGCCAUCUAAAGCUAAAUAUUGGCGAGAGACCGAUAGCGAACAAGUACCGUGAGGGAAAGAUGAAAAGAACUUUGGAAAGAGAGUUAAACAGUACGUGAAAUUGUCGAAAGGGAAACGGUUGCAGUCAGUCGCGUCCGCCGGGGAUCAACCUUGCUUUUGCUUGGCGUAUUUCCCGGUGGAUGGGUCAGCAUCAGUUUUGACCGCAGUUGAAAGGCUGGAGGAAUGUGGCACCUUCGGGUGUGUUAUAGCCUCCUGUCAUAUGCUGCGGUUGGGACUGAGGAACUCAGCACGCCGCAAGGCCGGGAUUCGUCCACGUUCGUGCUUAGGAUGCUGGCAUAAUGUCUGUAACCGACCCGUCUUGAAACACGGACCAAGGAGUCUAACAUGCACGCGAGUGUUUGGGUGGCAAACCCGAGCGCGUAAUGAAAGUGAAAGUUGAGACCUCUGUCGUGGAGGGCAUCGACGCCCGGACCAGAACUUUUGGGACGGAUCCGCGGUAGAGCGUGUAUGUUGGGACCCGAAAGAUGGUGAACUAUGCCUGAAUAGGGCGAAGCCAGAGGAAACUCUGGUGGAGGCUCGUAGCGAUU